UUUUAACAAUUAUUUUUAACUUUUACUUUUGGUUAAUGAGCUAACAAUAGAUAAAGACAACAUUGACCAAUAAAAUUUUACACUUUUAAAAAUUCUAGAUUUUUUUUUAAGUUUCGAUUAAAUUAAGGUCUGUAUGUGUUACACCAUAGAACUCAGAAAAAAAUGUUCUUCUCAAGAAGUUAGCCUUGUAUCCGAAGAACAAAUGGAGAUAAAAAUUUAAUAAACAUCUGAAAGCAUACAAUUUAUAUACUCUUAAACAUAUACCAAAUUUUAAUAAGUUUUGAUGAAUAGUUUUUAUAAUAUUUAACUGUAUUUAUACUUUUUAGCGACCCUAUAUAGAAGUCCGUGUAAUAAUAUUUCAUCGUUUCAAAAUUUUCUUGAUUUAUUAUGUAGCCUUUUUUCUCGUGUAUAUAAUGCAAUUAACUAAUACAUCUUAUGUGGUGACUUUAAUGUAAAUUUCUUAGGUUCGUCUAAAGAACCUAACUCUUGAACUCUUGAAUAAUUUGUUUCAUGAAUUUGGAUUAUAACUCAUGUUUGGCAAAACACGCGAAUUACAAGUACUUGUGCAACUUGAAUUGACAUUAUUAUUUCAAAUCUUCUAGCAAUAACUUCUUAUGUAGCAAACAUUUUUCAUUCAGAUCAUACAUAUCAGUUAGUUAUUUCUGACAGUAUUAAGCUAGGCUUAGACAAUUGUGAUGACAAUUGUUCAUAUAUAAUUAAAAAACGUGUUUUUAGCGAUAUAACUAUUUCUCAUUUUAAGGAAUGUCUUCAGAAUGAAGAUUGGCAGAAUACAUUUCUUACUUCUGACUUUAAACUGGGGUUUAGCAAGAUUUACAAUAAAUUCUUGCGUUAUUUUAAUAAAUGUUUCCCACUUAUGUCGAUAGAGGUAAAAAGCAAAAUAAAGGGCAAACCAACAUGGUACACCCAAUCUCUUAAAACCUUACAUGACCAACUUUCUGACAUGUCAAAAUUAUGUAAAUGUAUUAACAAUCUGGUGUAUCAUAACAAAUUUUUAGAACUUAGGCCCAAUGGGACGAGUCGAAUUGGUUCCCAAAUUCGGUAAUCCUCUCUAAUUAUAGUCGAAUUGGUUCCCGGGGAUGGUCGAAUUGGAUCCCUCGAUCAGGUAGGUCAGAUAAACGGAUUAAAUUAUCAUGAUGACAGGAAUGGCAUUUUAAGUGUAUGAAUAUUCAUAAGUUCAAAAACGGAAUAUUGAGAAAAAAUCCAUAGCCGAAUCUCCUCGCUAAGUUGAAAAAUGUUAAAAUUGUUUUUGUAAAUUGUCUCCAUUUUGAUGCUUUAAUAGUAUAAGGGUGCAUAGAAUUUAAAAUUGACGGAUAAUUUAGAGCAAUUGAUGUAAAACCGAACAAGAACUAGAACUCUAGAGCCAGAAGCACAUUUAUUUGUUUGAUACUUGACACAUAUCUAAGUUUUCUCAAAUUUUUUUCUCGGAGCACAUAGAACCCUAUCUGUGAGAAUUCAAUGUUUAAAAUGCCCAACGUAAUCGAGAAAAAGGAAAUACAAUGGCAAAGGCAAAUUAGUAAACUGGGAACAGUCAGAGCAAAUUGAGCUUAUUUGCAGAACUUUUUACGAAAUUUACAGAGAGCUUUAGGCCUGAAAAAUAACAUUUUUUUAAAUAACCAGUUAACCACGAAUAAAUGAAAUUUGUUGUUGGAUAUCGUGCUAAGAAAAUAAUUAUUUGAACAUUUCUACCAGCUUUAAAUCUAAAACAUAAACAUAUCUGUGACUUUAUCAUUUCUAUGUACCUGCUCAUGGGGAAGCCAAUUCGACCCUCACCCGGGAACCAAUUCGACUAUCACCUUUUACAGAAUUAUACUUAUAAAGAUUAACGGGAACCAAUUCGAGCACGACCAGGCAAAUGUAUUGUAAGUCUUUAAAAUGUACAAAGCACACAUAUAAUGACUACAGAUUGGCUAAUUCAGAUAACCUUGUAAGUGAAAGCUGGAAUAUAAUUACCAGCCAUCAAAGAAAUUUUAAAACCAACAACAUUAAUUUAGUCGAUAAAAAUAAUAAAGUGAUCAGUGAACCGUUGGAUCUCUAAAACUUCUUUAAAGAUUACUUUGCUGAUGGUGUCCAAUUUGUCCAAAGAAAUGAGUCAGCUUUAUCAUAAAAUUACUUCAAAUGUACUUCAAGUGUUGUAAAAAGUAUCUAUUUGGCACCUUUAACACCGGAGGAGGUGAUUCCAGUCAUAACUAAUAUAUGCAACAAAAAAUACCUAGUAUUGAUGAAAUACCUGGUUCCUUACUAAUUGCUGUCAGGGAUCUCAUAUCAUUCCCAUUAUCCCAUUUAAUCAAUGAGUCUUUUGUAAAUGGUGUUUUUCCUGAAGCUUUAAAAACUUCAAAAAUUGGUUUCAAAAGUAAAGUUUUAUGCUAUAGACCAAUUGCAGUCCAAAAUCAAUUUCAUAAAUAUUUGAGAGGAUAUUCUCUGAUCGCUUGGUAAAGUACUCUUAAGAUCUCUUCUAGUCAAAAUGGUUUUAGAAAAGGUAAAUCUACAAUAACUGUUAUAUAAGAAACAAUUUCUGCGUUAUAUAAUUCAUUAAAUAAUAAGCAACAAACAGUUGGAUUUUUUUAUGAUUUGACAAAAGCUUUUGUCUCUGUGAAUCACGGUAUCUUGUUAGAAAAGCUGCAUCAUUGUGGUAUUCGUGUAAUUCCAAAUAACUGGAUUAAAACUUAUUUACACGAAAGAAGGCAAGUUGUUGCUCUGAAUGUCCGAACCAGCGUUUGCUGAAUUGGGUAUGCCGCAGGAAAUGGGUUUUAAGUCACAUUCUUUUUUUAAUUUUUAUAAAUGAUUUACCACCUUUGAUAGUUUUAAAUACAAAAUCUAAUAAAUUAAUAAUUUAUGCAGAUGACACAAAUGCAAUAAUAACUAACAAGGAACAUGAAGACUUGGUUGACUGUGGAAAUUAUGUGUCUACAACAAUAAAUAGAAAACUUAUAUGGUUAAAUUUUUGCCUAAAAAUGUUACGCCUGAUUACAGUGUUUUAAUUAAACUAUGUGGAAUGUCAAUAAGAUAUAUAUACGAAAUUAAUUUUGUUGGGAUAACUUUGGACUCUAAGUUAACAUAAAAAAGUCAACUUGUGUAAUAAACUAAGUGAGAUUUGUUUUUUAAUAAGAAAUUUAAAGCGCACUCUGUCUGGUGACAUUCUUAAAAUAUUAUAUUUUGGGCUUGUCCAGUCUGUACUAUUAACAACACACUCUUCAAAAAUAAAGAUCUUUGCAAAAAAGUUAAUGACCUGCUUACCAUUGUCUUUAAAAAUCUUUUGAAGCGACAAGACAGUUUCAUAGCUCAUGCUUUGAUCACAGAGAUAUCUUAUAUAAGUUCAGUAGGCUUGUCUGGAGUGAACAAUGUGAAAAAACAUAUGUUUCUCAAACGAGCACUGGGUGGUGAUAAUAGGUAUGAAGUAUUUUAUGGCAUAACAGAAGAAGAACUGAAGCAGCUCACAACAAAGUUUAUUGAGAAAUUUUGGCAGGGCGUGAACAAACUCCCUAAAGAAAAAGUGGAAUCAUGUUACAACGGAUACCAAAGUAUUGGACAGAGUAGAGUCAAGAUAUAUCCUAUUUGGUCAAUUGUGAACGCUCUAGAAAAUGGAGAGCUAAGCAAUUAUUGGGAGCAGUCUGGAAUCAUGGCGGGCGCAAGACAGGGACUUAACAUCCUAAUUGUUCGGAUCGCAAUUGAAAAGCUGUUGUCGGGAAGACACAUUAAAUGUGAAAUUCCAUAUGUGGUCUCUCACACAUAUAAAUUAGAGCUAGAAUACCUCCAAGACCUGAGUGAUGUAAUUUUGAAGUGGGAAGAGAAAAGGACUCUCUUAAAACCUGAUGUUUUCGUUUCCUUUCUGAUGCAACAAGGGUAUUUAAUGUAUGAAAAAAAUAUAGCAGGAGACAUAUUUGAAGUUAAAAUUCCUAAUACACUUAUUGAGAACGAAUUUAGAAAUCUGAUCAAAACAUGAUCCAGACGAUUAAAGUGAUGAAAUUGUGAAGAGGUUGAUUAGUUCUAUGCAGGAGGUAUUUGAACAUGUGAGCGAAAAAUGGAACCAAUGCAACGAAGACGCGAACCAUUUGAACUGUCGGGUGUAGAAAGGAGGCUGUUCAAUUCAGAAAAUAUAGGAAGAAUAAUUGAGGUCAAGCACCGUCAGAGUGCAUUAAAAGCUUUUAAACAAAUUGAAAGUAAACGCUAUGUAGAAAUUUUGAGGAAAAUGUUAUCAAAUGAAAAUCUCAAAUGUGUUUGAAUGGGAUUGAAUGUGAAUAACAACAAUAAAGUAAGCAUUCCCUAUAAGAAUGCAGAUAAGUCUGGUUCACCACGUGUAAUACUCGCAUCUUUAAAAUAUUUUUUUAACUUUCAAACUUAAAAUAAUAUAUUUUUGGCCGGUUGUAUAAAGAUGUGCCAAAUAACAUGAUUUUAACUGAUCAUGUGACCCCUUUUUGAACGUGUUGAUUGUUUUAUUCAUGUUUAAUUGAUUGUCAAAAUCUUGUUAAAGUAGACAUAGCUUUAUACAACCGGGGCUUUAUAAUUUUAUUAUGAUGAAAAACAGUACAAUAAUAAAAAAAUCUUAUCCAUCGCGACCAAAGGUGGGUGUUUUGCAUUUGUUUUUAUAUAAACAUAUACAAUAAUUCUCAAUAAUAAUUAUUUAUGUUCAGUACAUAAUGUAUCAUAUUUCAAACUUUUUUAAUGUAAUGACAGUUUUUACCGUACUUGUGCAAGUUUAGCAAUUUUCAUUGCAAUUGUUUUCACUUAAAUGCUUGUUAAAAAAAUAAACAACUUCGUAACUAGGAUAUGUAUUAUGUAUCGUAAAAUUUCAUUUUUUUAAUCAAUAAGAAAAUUAGCAUGAUAUAUUCAAUCCGAAAACGACUGUAUAAGAUCCGUUAUAGGCGUGUUGGUAAGAUAUUCGUGUUCAAUCCAAGGAGUCUCGGGUACGAAUUAUUGCGAAUCCAACUUUUUUUUAUUUCGUAAUAUUGUUGCAAUUUGAUAGAUUAUUAUAGCUGAUUAAAUAGCUCAGUUAGUAAAGAGUUAGAUAGGUAAUUACAAAGUGUUGAGUUCGAUUCCUAUCGCCGCCUUUUUUUUUAUUGAGAAUGCAGUUGUUCUUAAGUCUGAACUGGUGAGAUAUCGAGUGGCCAUAGAUAUUGAGGACCCACGAAGAUUGACGGGCAACUGAGUGCUGCCAAAUAUUCUCAAAACAUUUCUCGGUUUUGGGACUCCUCCAUCUAUUCAUGACUUACAGUAAUAUCGAACAACAAUGACCUGUCCUGUUGAUUCGCCAUAGGCCCAUGAGUCGAAGAAGAAUUCAGGAUUGAUGUUCGUGCGAUGCCGCCGAUGAUUCUCUUCGAUAGACACAUACUUAUAAACGGUAUAAGUUGUCGUGAAAGAGGAGAUGCUGUAAGAAUAGAUCGGAUUGUAGUCGGAAUGAAAACGGGGAAUGUUAUGCACAUAUUUUUAUUAAUCCUGUAAAUAUUCUGAAUCCAAAAAUUAUUAUGAAGGCAUAGUCGAAUAUUGGGGUGUUGAAAACAAAUACUUCCAUGCCAUGACAAUGUUUACGUUCACGUCUUUCUUAAAAUUACUAACGCUUGAUCAACGUUAAACGUUAUCGUAUACGUGUGAUAUUUUUUGAUAAUUAAGACACAAACCGAACAUGUUUACUAUAACAUUCAAGUUUUAAUAGCGAUCUCUAAGUGAAAAUCCAUAAUGGGGUGUUCAGAUAUUUUAGUAGACUUCGACCAAUUAGGUGUAUCUUUUUUAUGUGCGUAUAAUAGUUGAAUACAGUUGGGAUAUGCAAAAUGUAUUUGGUAAUAAUUUUUAAGACCUUUGCCAUGCGCCAAUUGACUUGGUCCAGAAAUGAAAAGCUAUUUUUGAGGUAUCUAAAAACUAGGGAAUUUAUAAAGGUUUUUCCUGGUUUUUAAAGUAAUUUUACUUGGAGUGUCGAGGAUUUUAAGUCGCUUUAAGUUGUUUUUCAUUGGAAUUUUGAUGCGCCAAUAGGCUUGGUCCAAAAAUGAAAAGCUGUUUUGAGGUGUGUGAAAUUUAGAGAUUUGACAAUGGUUUUAAAGCAGUUUUGAAGUAAUUUUAAUUGAUUUUUGCAUGCGCCAAUUGGCUUGGUCCAGAAAUUAAUUUUGGGGUGUCUAAAAUCAAGGCAUUUUGUAAGUUUUUUAGAUCUUUUUCGGAUGGUUACUUUUGGGAAAACACUAAAUUUGUAGGAUUAUACCCUGUUUUUCGUAUGCCCAACUUUUGGUGGCCUACACAUAUUUGGGAACUUUUGGGGUGGAUAAAAAUUAAUGAUUUUUGAGAGGUUUUAGGCCCUAUUCGGUUGUUUGCUUUUGGGCAAAAAAUGUUCUGGCCCAGAAAUAACAUUGGAUAUACUACUUAACAUGAAAUACUGACUUACUAUAACUGUUGAAUAUUGUUUUAGACUAUAUUUAUAGUUCCUGAAAGUUCAGAAAAUGGAAAUCGGUAAGUAAAUUUAUUUAUUAGUAAUAUAUACUUUUUUAUCUUUACAACUUUUUUGUCCCGUCCGUUGAUACAAACAUAAAAUAUUGGUCUUAUUUCGUACGUUGUUAAACAAAACCAAGAAUUUUUACUAUCCACUGUUUAAUUUUGAUAUUGUUCUUUAAUAAUUAAAACCUGUCUGAAUACAUUUUUUAGAGCUAU
Molecule: long non-coding RNA, 6648 nt
Organism: Tribolium castaneum (red flour beetle)
Lineage: Eukaryota; Metazoa; Arthropoda; Insecta; Coleoptera; Tenebrionidae
Exons: 3
Source: RefSeq, a predicted model, not a curated record